CAGCCGCCACGGUAAUACAGAGGGUGCGAGCGUUAAUCGGAUUUACUGGGCGUAAAGCGUGCGUAGGCGGCUAAUUGAGUCGGAUGUGAAAUCCCCGAGCUUAACUUGGGAAUUGCAUUCGAUACUGGUUAGCUAGAGUGUGGGAGAGGAUGGUAGAAUUCCAGGUGUAGCGGUGAAAUGCGUAGAGAUCUGGAGGAAUACCGAUGGCUAAGGCAGCCAUCUGGCCUAACACUGACGCUGAGGUACGAAAGCAUGGGGAGCAAACAGGAUUAGAGACCCCUGUAGUCCCUGUCUCUUAUAC
This 301-nucleotide ribosomal RNA is filed under the name uncultured bacterium. RNAcentral's name for it is "partial 16S ribosomal RNA". It matches the Rfam family "Bacterial small subunit ribosomal RNA", at positions 509 to 807 of the family's 1533-position model. The record is from RNAcentral.